AGAGAUCAUGGCUCAGGAUGAACGCUAGCGGCAGGCUUAAUACAUGCAAGUCGAGGGGCAGCAGGGGUGUAGCAAUACACUCGCUGGCGACCGGCAAACGGGUGCGGAACACGUACGCAACUUACCCAAAACUGGGGAAUAGCCCGGGGAAACCCGGAUUAAUACCUCGUAACAUAAUGAAGUGGCAUCACUUUAUUAUUAUAGCUCCGGCGGUUUUGGAUGGGCGUGCGCCUGAUUAGGUAGUUGGCGGGGUAACGGCCCACCAAGCCUACGAUCAGUAACUGGUGUGAGAGCACGACCAGUCACACGGGCACUGAGACACGGGCCCGACUCCUACGGGAGGCAGCAGUAAGGAAUAUUGGUCAAUGGACGCAAGUCUGAACCAGCCAUGCCGCGUGAAGGAUGAAGGUCCUCUGGAUUGUAAACUUCUUUUAUAUGGGAAGAAAUUCCCGCAUUCUUGCGGGAUUGACGGUACCAUAGGAAUAAGCACCGGCUAACUCCGUGCCAGCAGCCGCGGUAAUACGGAGGGUGCAAGCGUUAUCCGGAUUCACUGGGUUUAAAGGGUGCGUAGGAGGGCAGGUAAGUCAGUGGUGAAAUCUCCAAGCUUAACUUGGAAACUGCCGUUGAUACUAUCUGUCUUGAAUACCGUGGAGGUGAGCGGAAUAUGUCAUGUACCGGUGAAAUGCUUAGAUAUGACAUAGAACACCAAUUGCGAAGGCAGCUCGCUACACUAAUAUUGACUCUGAGGCACGAAAGCGUGUGGGAUCAAACAGGAUUAGAUACCCUUG
Molecule: ribosomal RNA, 788 nt
Filed under: uncultured Sphingobacteriia bacterium
Lineage: Bacteria; Pseudomonadati; Bacteroidota; Sphingobacteriia
Description: bacterial SSU rRNA
Rfam family: Bacterial small subunit ribosomal RNA
Source: RNAcentral